GUCGACAGCCAUGCCAUUCUGAACAAGCCCAAUGUCUGAUCUUGGAAGCUAAGCAGGGUCAGGCCUGGUUAGUAUUUAGAUGGGAGACCAUCUAGGAAGACCAAGUGCUGUAGGCG
RNAcentral lists this ribosomal RNA (116 nucleotides) under Pteropus alecto (black flying fox). Lineage: Eukaryota; Metazoa; Chordata; Mammalia; Chiroptera; Pteropodidae. The record is from RNAcentral.